Molecule: ribosomal RNA, 276 nt
Filed under: uncultured bacterium
Lineage: Bacteria
Description: partial 16S ribosomal RNA
Rfam family: Bacterial small subunit ribosomal RNA
Source: RNAcentral
UACGUAGGUGGCAAGCGUUGUCCGGAAUUAUUGGGCGUAAAGCGCGCGCAGGCGGUCCUUUAAGUCUGAUGUGAAAUCUUGCGGCUCAACCGCAAGCGGUCAUUGGAAACUGGGGGGACUUAGUGCAGAAGAGGAAAGCGGAAUUCCACGUGUAGCGGUGAAAUGCGUAGAGAUGUGGAGGAACACCAGUGGCGAAGGCGGCUUUCUGGUCUGUAACUGACGCUGAGGCGCGAAAAGCGUGGGGGAGCAAAACAGGAUUAGAUACCCCGGUGUCAU